RNAcentral lists this long non-coding RNA (1108 nucleotides) under Homo sapiens (human). Its description in RNAcentral is "HSALNT0362410". Lineage: Eukaryota; Metazoa; Chordata; Mammalia; Primates; Hominidae. The record is from RNAcentral.
CUGGUCUUUACUUCUCUAACUAGCAAAUGCAAUGGUCCUGUAGCCAUGCAAUAGAAGUAGGGUGAAUGAGAGAGGAGAAUGGCAUUUGAAUUUUGCCUUCUCAAGAUCUGGAUUAGUUGCCACGAUCUCUCCAAUAUAGCAAAGAAUUUACAUCUAAAUUACAAUAUUGCUACAAUUUUAUACGUUUAGUUAGAAGGACUAGAUGAAGAGCUAUGUCUGUAUAAAUUGGAGUAUGAUAAAAAUUUGUGGGAGAAUAGAAUCAUCAACUUUCAUGGAGGGAAGUUGGUUGACACCCACUACUCACUGAUCCUGAGGCAGAAUAAGUGGCCAUGAUUGGUAUAAAAAAAACUUCUGACUUAAAGACCACAUCACAUUAUCACGACAACUCUGUUCUCACUGACACUUUUUUUUUUUUUUUUUUUUUUUUUUGAGACGCAAUCUCGCUCUGUCACUCAGGCUGGAGUGCAGUGGUGCGAUCUCGGCUCACUGCAACCUCCGUCUCCCAGGUUCAAGCGAUUCUCCUGCCUCAGCCUCCUCUCACUGACACUUAUUAAUUAAACUCCAGCUGCACCUGCUUUUGAAGGAGAGAAGAGCAAGACAAGCAGGGGGAGGAGACCCAAGAGUUCUGUGUGGCUUGUUCAUACUUCUCAGGAUUCUUACCUAAUGGGCUUAGUUUAGCAUGAAAACAGUAACAUUCAGUUUCAUCACUAUUGUCUUUUGAGAUACAUGCUUUUUUCCUCCUUGUACACAUUACAGAAAGAAUGGCCAGUCAUUAAAAUUUACACAGUUAUGAGUCUAUGGGUUUUUCUUCCGCUGAGUGACUGAAAGAUACAUUUAUCUUCCUUUUUGUUUUUGUUGUUUUGUGUUUCAGUUAAUAGGGGGGGAAAAGUACCUUAUCAUAACUAUGGUAACAAAGAUGGCUUUUUCUUUUUUAUUUUCUUGUAGUUUGGUAAUAUUGGGGUUAAAAAAAGAAAGCUAUAAAGAACAUUUUUAAAAAAUUGACAAGUAGAUGGAUUGUAGAAUAGAUAGUAUUCAUUGUGUCACUUAAAUAUUUUGAACUUGAAAACUGUGCUGUUGUUAAGAGUCAAGGGGUAAAACAGCAUGAUAA